RNAcentral lists this microRNA precursor (87 nucleotides) under Leifsonia aquatica. Its description in RNAcentral is "microRNA MIR1846". The record is from RNAcentral. Lineage: Bacteria; Bacillati; Actinomycetota; Actinomycetes; Micrococcales; Microbacteriaceae.
CUGAGCCGACGCGCGAGAGGUGAGUUGUUGCGGGUCCCGGGCUGCCGGAACCCGCAACGACUCACCUCUCGCGGGGUAUCGCCUCGU